RNAcentral lists this ribosomal RNA (1522 nucleotides) under Candidatus Nomurabacteria bacterium RIFCSPLOWO2_01_FULL_42_20. RNAcentral describes it as "partial 23S ribosomal RNA". It matches the Rfam family "Bacterial large subunit ribosomal RNA", at positions 1 to 1184 of the family's 2925-position model. Lineage: Bacteria; Candidatus Nomuraibacteriota. The record is from RNAcentral.
CAGGAAUCUAAGAGCAUAUGGUGGAUGCCUUGGCUCUCUAAGGCGAUGAAGGACGCAGCGUGGCGGCGAUAUGUCUCGGGGAGGUGCCUAGCAACCUUCGAUCCGAGAAUUUCCGAAUGGGGAAACCCGAUCCGAUCAAAAUCGGAUCGCCCCGACUUAAGGUCGGGGCGCAUACCCAGGGAAGUGAAACAUCUCAGUACCUGGAGGAAGAGAAACUAAAUAAAGCAUUCCGUCAGUAGCGGCGAGNNNNNNNNNNNNNNNNNNNNNNNNNNNNNNNNNNNNNNNNCGCGCGGACAGUCGCAGACUGGACGCGGACUUACGCAGAAGGAAUACAAAUGCAUUAAUUUUUUGCAUUUUGAAUUUUUUCUGCGUCGGUCUGCGUGAUGUCAGCGUAGGUCGGCGCGCCAAUGCUACGCGUUGGCGAGGUUGUAGGGAAACAACGUGGUUUUAUUACUAGAGAAGUAAAAAAAGAAAAUAUUAGCUUAAGCUGUUGGAAAGCAGCGCCAGAGGAGGUGAUAGCCCCAUGAGCGAAAAUAUUUUCUCUUCUUUGUUGUUUUACCUGAGUACCUCAAGACACGAAUAGCUUGAGGGAAUCUGCCGGAACUAACCGGUAAGGCUAAAUACUUAGAGAGACCGAUAGUGAACUAGUACCGCGAGGGAAAGGUGAAAAGCAGCCCGAUUAGGGCGAUGAAAUAGACCUGAAACCAUAUGCUUACAAGGAGUCAGAGCCGUGGCUCACUUUAGUGAAGCCACGGAAAUUCCAAAUUCCAAUUUCCAAAUCACAAAUAAAUCCCAAAUUUCAAAUUCAAAAUCCCAAACGAAUCCGUUUGGAAUUUAGAGUUUAGUGUUUGGAAUUUGUUUGUAAUUUGUUGCUUGGUGCUUGGUGUUUCCGUGNNNNNNNNNNNUCAUGGCGUGCCUAUUGAAGAAUGAGCCAACGAGUUUAUCUUAGCCCUUUGUCUAAUCCUUUAAACGGGAUGAGGCACAGGGAAACCGAGUCUGAAUAGGGCGAUGUUUUUGGCGUAAGCUAAAAACAGAGGGCUGGGAUAAGACCCGAAACCAGGUGAGCUACCCAUGGGCAGGAUGAAAGCCGCAGAAAUGCGGCUGGAGGUCCGAACCGGUGAGUCGUACAACGCUCUCGGAUGACCUGUGGGUUGGAGUGAAAAGCUUAUCGAACCUGGUAAUAGCUGGUUCUCUCCGAAAUAGCUUUUGGGCUAGCGUCAAGUGUUCCUUCCGGGGGUAGAGCACUGGAAGAAUCGAAUAGGGAGAAAUCUCGUCUAUUCUAUCAAACUCCGAAUACCGGAAGUUAUAGCUUGGCAGUUAGACUGUGGGGGCGAAGCUCCACUUAGUCAAAAGGAGAAGAGUCCUGAUCUCAAGUUAAGGUCCCAAAAUUUACGCUAAGUGCAUCUUAAGGAGGUGAGGUUUCCCUGACAGUGAGGAUGUUGGCUUAGAAGCAGCCAUCAUUUAAAGAAAGCGUAACAGCUCACUCAUCGAGAGAUCUUGCGCCGCAGAUAAUCGGGGCUAA